This 445-nucleotide long non-coding RNA is filed under the name Malus domestica (apple). RNAcentral describes it as "long non-coding RNA (MDOM_LNC008098)". Lineage: Eukaryota; Viridiplantae; Streptophyta; Magnoliopsida; Rosales; Rosaceae. The record is from RNAcentral.
ACAUAAAUGCACAAGAACAAGCCAACUAAGUCGCAUAAAUAUGCUCCUAUCAAAUUCCCCCACACUUAGCUUUUGCUAGUCCUCGAGCAAAACAAAGAGAUAAAACGAAACAAAGUAAAAAAAAAAACACAACCUAAACCUUCCAACAUUUGCCUCAGGGAUUUCCAAUGCACAUGACAUGUUAAAAAUUAUUAUCCCCACAGAUUUGAGUCAUCUUCACACUUAAGCACGUACUUAAUCAUAGUCACCACUUACUAGUUCACAAUUAAUCAAUUAAAAUAAUGUUUUUGAAUGUAGUAACAUGCCUUAGAGAAAUCACUCAAUUCCUUACAAGAUAUGCACUCAAUUUUCACUCAGAUUUUCUAACUACACACCCUAUACUAGUUAUAUGUGAGAAGAUUGAUGUAGAUAUGAAAACGAACGCUCACAUAUAUGUAUCACAAAG